This is a long non-coding RNA of Teleopsis dalmanni, 958 nucleotides long. RefSeq lists it as uncharacterized. NCBI's taxonomy places the organism in Eukaryota, Metazoa, Arthropoda, Insecta, Diptera, Diopsidae. The transcript has 4 exons. The record is from RefSeq and is a predicted model, not a curated record.
GGAAGUAAUUAUAUACAAAAUUUUUAUUAGUCAUUACGUGGUAAUACUCCAAGUCAAUAAUAUCGUAUAUAAUAUAUAAUAAAUUCUGUAACAAAAAUAAUUUACUUGAUUUUCAAGAGUUUUGGCAAAUAAAUUAUAAAGUGAAAGGUUCUACAAGAACUGUGAAGUUAAAAAUAAAAAUUGCAAUCUUUCAGAUUACUUUUGGAUGAUCCUCACAUCUGUACAAGGAAGGACUGCAAAUAGUUCUAUCAGGUUUUAAAGCAUAGAAGUUGGAGAUCCACGUGAAAGAUAUUGUUUUUUCUUGGAUUUUCGCAAUGGAAUUUGUUACUACCAUUCUACCAACAUACAACAAUCCAAAAAAGUCAUGUAUUUACCCUCUCUUUAACAACUAUCAGAAUACACCUUGGUAUAACAUUUCGCUAUAUAUAUUCGGAUUUACAAUGAUAUCCCUGAUAGUGUGGUGUAUAUUCCAUGCGUGUCAAGAUGAGCCUAAACCAAAAUCAAACCAAACAGUGAACAAUGACUUGUCACUAUAUGAUUACUUCUUUGAAACUUUUGUUAGGCUACUUAAGACGUUCUUGCGUAGAGACCUUACGGAUAAUGAUAUGUUCUUCAUUACAGAGACACUUAAUAAUAGCAGUUUGAAAGAAAGACUUCUGGUAGCACGAGAAACAUUCUUGACGACAACAAGAACUGCUCAAUGCUUUCUAAUGUACAACGCGGAAGCCCGUGAUUUGCUAAGAGAAGCUUUGUCGCUUUUUUAUGCAAAAUAUGGAUGUGAGGACAGAUUUACUUAAGGAACUGAUACACGUUUAGAACAUUAUAGUAAGACCUCAAAUAUAUUUUAAUAGAAGUUAUCCUUAUAAAUUACUGGUAAGCUGUUACAGUCGUAGAUAUUUAAUGCAAAAUAAUGUAAGCUUAAAGACAAUUUUAUUAAUAAAUGCUUAUUCGAAAACAA